CGGCCACCUCGGGCAACAGUUGUUGGGGUACACAGAGAGGUGACAACGUGCCGGAGGAUUGACCAUUUGGUCUAUCCUGCCUCCUCUAAGAUAGCCUGCUUCCUUCAGGUAUGUGGGAUGGAGAAGGGAUCAUCUGGUCCUUUGUCUCAGCGAGCAAAAUGCCUUGGUCCAGCUCUGUACUUCAGCUGCACUUUUACUCCCCAUGAGUUCACAAGGUAGCUGGCAACAGUAUGCUCGAAGCGUUCACUCAUGAAAGAGUAAAAGCAAAAACUAGCGUGGAAAUAGGCACACAUCUGGUUCCGAUGAAGGAGCCAGCUUCAUCCCUGAAAGCCAAUGAGAUGUCAGCUCCACGGGCUUCAAAAUAUUAAUGCCAGAAGAGCUGCUUCAUUCGUCAGCCUUAAAUUACAUUUUAGGGCAGGGGCAAGGAAUCUGUGAUUUCCCCCCCCCCCGCCGCCGCCAGUGUUGCUAGACUACUACCUUAGUGGUGGCCAUGUUGGAUGGGUCUAAUGGGAGACCCACCAGUGACAUAGAUUUGGAGUUGCUGAGUCUUCUCCCAAGCAGGAUGGGAUAGCAGCUAAUUCUCCAUACGCUUAGGCAUGACAGAAAGACAUAGCUGCAAGUAGAGAUACAGAUAGUUAUUGGCAUUAAUCAAGACCCUUAGCACGUCAACUGCAAAGGACACUAAACAUCUCAUGUCUUGAUCUUGUCUACUUAUGGGACCACCUCUCCUGGUAUGCCCCGCGGAGGACAUUAAGGUCCACAAAUAACAACACUUUGGAGGUCCCAAGCCACAUGGUGGUUAGAUUGGUCUCAGCUAGGGCCGGGGCCUUUUCAGUACUGGCCCCGACUUGGUGGAAAGCUCUGUCACGAGAAACUAGGGCUCUGCUGGACUUGACAUCUUUCCGCAGGGCCUGCAAGACAGAGCUGUUCCGCCUGGCCUUUGGUUUGGACUCAGACUGACCUUUAUGUUUCCCUCCCCAAAUGGUUUUGCUUUAUGGGCUACUAUUAAAAGGAGGCUGCAUUUUAAAUUGUAUUUUAACCCGUAUUUUAAUAAACUGGUUUUUUUGCUUGCUUGCUUGCUUGUUUUCCCCUAUUAUGUUUUAUUGUAAUUUUAUUGGUGUUGGCCGCCCUGAGCCCAGCUCUGGCCAGGGAGGGCGGGGUAUAAAUAAAAAAAUUAUUAUUAUUAUUAUUAUUAUUAUUAUUAUGUAAGUGGAUGGUGUCAAUUCAAAGAGGCAGUUGGAGAAUUUAAAAAUGUGAGUUUUAAAUGAGACCAGAUGUUUUUAAAAGGUGUGAGAGAGAUAGCCAUAUGUUUGCUCUUGGUACCUUUGAAAUUCUUAAUUUCCACCCUGGGGAAAAAAAUUCUUUGUGGCUGCAGGAAACUGAUGGGACCAUGAACCUUAAAGCAACAAAGAGAUGGGCAGAUGGCCAUUCUUUGUUUUAUAAGCAAAUCACAGGCUUUGAACAACCUGCAGGUAUUUUCUCAUUACUCUAAGAAAAUCAAGCAUGACGGCAAAUUGUAUGGAUCACGUCUUUCUGUGUUUUCAAGAUUUUGCUAACUUGUAGCUCCCUCCCACACAUAACUUACCUAUAUCCCUGGGGUCCUAAGUGUGUUUUACUUAACUGACAAAUGUGACUUCUUCCAAGUACAUUUGGGGCAGGGAGGAGGGUUAGAGGUUGGGCACUUCUGUCUUUCCUCCAUCCAGGCACAUUUUACAUUAAGCCAGUAUCGGGGAUUUAGCAAAUUUAUAUAUAUUUUUUCUUGUGUUAUGAAGCUUCUAGCUCAGAGCAGAUUGCCAGAUGAUUCUGGAGUCAAGGAUGCAUAUCUGCCUACCUUGCCUUCUAAUUGCUUCUUUCAUCAAAUUUAGGUUUUCUGUAUUCUGAUAAGAAAGCCAUGUGGUUUCUAUGUAGCUGCAGGCUAAAGACCCAUCUGCCUUGGCAGUUUAUCAUGUUGGUGUCAAUUGGAAGCACCUGUAGUUCAUGUCUGACCUAAGUUGUCUCCACUAAAGACAUCUGGAAGUUGUCUAAGGAUUAUUGUCCUUAAAAUUCUAGCCGUUUGCAAAUGCUUGCGCAUUUUUCUUCCUACUAUACCUUAGCGUUCUGCACUGAAUUUAUCUUACCCGUUAGAAAAGCAUCCCCCUUGUCAGUGCUGCCCCAUUUAUGUUACUUCCACUUGUUGGGAUUUUGAUAUCAUAUCAUGUAACAUAUGAUAACGGAGUUCAGAAGCCACAGUUCAGUGGUAGAGCAUCUGAUUUGCAUGCAGUUUCAGUCCCCAUCAUCUCCAGGUAUAUUUGGGACCACAUGCCUAAGUAGAUGCCUACAGGAAGCCCGUAAGAAGGACCUGAACACAGCAGGACUCGCCCUACUUGUGAUUCACAGCAGUGGCAUAGCGUGGCUUGCUGGUGCCCGGGUCAGGGCAAGUGUUGAAUCCCCCUGAUGGACUGGGCAGCUGAGGUGGAAGCGUGCGCCGGCAGGGCUUCCCCACUUGGGCACUUUCCCACGUUCCUCUGCCUCCCUCCUCAGUGGGUGGAAGCCACACCAUUCCCUUUCAGCCAAGCCGGGCAGCACUCAGGUGGCAGUAGCAAGGUGAGGUGGGUGGGGCAUGUUGGUGGGUGUGACGUUAACAUAUGAAAGUGCAGGAGGCGAAAUAGUUAAACAGGUUAUCCAAUCAGAACCCAGGGGGGUGGAGUCAGAGGGACUAUAAAACCAGCUCUGGGAGGGGCGAAGAGAGAAUUUGUUGGGAGUUGGGUGGUUGGCUGAAGUGGGAGUGAAUUGGGAUAGAGUCUGGGGGUAGGUUGAGUUAGUGUAGCGAAAUAAGCUGAGUCAGGCACAGUUAGGGGCUAGGAAGACAAGUAAAUAUCUGAGAGGUGGUUUAGUGAGUGAGAGCAGGUAGAGGAAGUUAUAGGACUGGAUAGGCACCCCAUGAUUGUAAUUGACCGAUACCGUUUAUGAAACCACACACUUGUUAAACUGCAAUAAAUAAACAGAAGCUUAUGUUCCAAUUUAACCCUGACAGGACUCAGUAUUGUACCAGGUAGGGCCUGGGUGGUGGCAGCGAGAAAUAAAGUGGUGGCACAGGGAUCAAUAGACGGUGAAACGUCUGGGGACCCUGUGUGAUCGCCACAGUGGGCACCAGGAAUGGGACAGCUUGAGGCUGCCCUCACAUGCCCUGCCAGUGCUCGCUGGCCAUGGCCCCCCACAGCUGGCAAGGCCAGGGCCAGGAGCGCCAAGUGGAGGUGCCACUGCUCUGUCUGCAGCAUCAGCACCAACCAUGGCUUGGCCUCUGCCACAGCCUCCUCCUCCCUGGCCUGGGCCUCGGCCACUGCUCCCACCAGUGCCCAGCACUCCCCAGGCCAUGCUGCCUCCAUUCUCAAUGCCUCACAGGCCUGGCAAGCCCUCAUCUCUUGGCCUCGCCUCACGGCGCCAACCCCAAAGGGUGAAGGCCCAGCCCAGGUGCAGCUUGCCUCCCUUGGCUCCAGAAAGCGGCAGGAGCUCAUCAGGGAGUCUGGCGUCGGGAUGCCUGGUUCUGCCCCAUCAUAAUUCUGCUCCCAGGUCCACCACUCCUUUUCUCCCACGCUACGCGUCUGAUUCUCAACAAGGGGCAUUCAGAGGCAUACUGCUUCCAAGAGUGGUGCUCAAACAUAACCACUGUGGCCAAGUCAUGCCCACCUGCUCUACACCUGACAUCAUAUAUGAGGCAGGUAAAGGCAGGGCUUGACCAAAAGAGGGUUGUGAUUCGAGGACCCGAUCCCCGCUUGGGGAAUAAAGACACGUGGACACCGUAUAUUAGGUUAAUGGGGUAGAAAAGGCCACAACUUUAUUGAUUACAGCAUGUGAGAAGGUAUUGGCUUAGGCACUGGACCUCAGAGAAUUUGACUCCACCCACUCGGAGAGGGUUAACCACCAGUCAGUGGAGCCUGUUGAUGCAAAUACAACUAUAAGCUCUCCCCUGAUGUCACCGAGGGUUGUGCCAUGGCCCCCCGCCACACAGGCAUCGGACAAGAUCCACGACUGCUGGAUUCCUUUAACGGAAUACCCAUAAGUGAAGGGGUAGGUGAUGGCCACACCUUGCCCUUCCAUACACCAACAACACAUUCCAAUGCCUAACCGCCAAAUACCAAGAAAGUUGUGACGAUUGCUACGAGGUAGGCGGAAAAAACCAAGAGGCCGGUGCCAAUUCGCCAAUUGGAAAAAACUCCUACCAGGCCCCCUGGGCAACCAGGGCGACCAACCAUGGGUCCAUAGCAAGGUCAAGCAAGAAGCUACGCCCUACAGGGAGUGGUGGGUGGGUGACUUGUGGCGAAAACAGGGGCACAAUGGCGAGGAGAGCUGGCGCGGCUGCAUUUGAGCAGCUAAACCACGCCCCCGCGGUGUCUUCCGAUUGGGUGCCCAACGGGGAGGCGUGGCGCGCCAGUGACGAUGAUAGGGCAGGGGGCAGGACACCCCCUGUGUGACACGGGAAUCGUUUCCCGCUCACAAUCCCUCCCCUCCGGAAGGAGGAGAAGCUUUCUCCAUCAUCUGCAGAGCCCUUUGCAAGGUAUCGUGUGCUGGACUUUGCAAGUGCUGCCAAGCAACUGAUUGCCACAGCUUGCCCAGUUUGGUUUCAACCUGCAAGGGCAAACAUGAGUUGCCUGAUUGAAUACCGUAUUUUUCGCUCUAUUGGAGGCAGUUUUCCCCCUCCAAAAAUUGAGGGGAAAUGUGUGUGCAUCCUAUGGAGCGAAUGCAGCCUUGUGCCAUAGCCGCGCGCAACCCCUGUGGCAGGGAGAAGCUGCACGAGGCUACGGCUUCUUUAGCUCCACACAGCCUCUCCUGGCAGGGAGAGUUUGCGUGGGGCUAAAGACGAAGCCAAAGCAGCGAGUGGGAUCCAUCCCGCUGGCUGCCUUGGCUUGUUCCAUAGCCAUGCGCAACCCCUCCGGCAGGGAGAGGCUGCACGGGGCUAUGGCUUCUUUAGCCCUGCGCAGCCUCUCCCAGCAGGGAGAGGUUGUGUGGGGCUAAAGAGGAAGCCAAAACAGCCAGCGCGAUCCAGCCCGCUCGCUGCAUUGGCUUGUGCUACAACCCCUCCGGUACGCUGCACUUUGGGGCUGGGGGGGGGAGAUUUUAUUUAUUGAUUUCCCCGUCUAAAAACUAGGUGUGCCCUAUGGUCAGGUGCGCCCUAUGGUGCGAAAAAUAUGGUAAUUGGUGGCAACUGUCACUGUUUCAUUAGAUUUUUUUUUACUUUAAGUAUUUAAAAUUAUCUGUAGUCUGACCAUGGCAUUGCAGGAUAAAAGCCCCCAAAAAAGAACAGCACACUGAAUCAUUUGCAUUUAUAGAAACUUUACCUAACAUUAAAUUUGAAUGAUUCAUUACCCUUUCUGGAGAGGGGGGGGGAUGUUAGAUUUGUUGAAUUACUAUAAACAUUGCAUGUGGAUGAUUAAUGUGCUUUUUGUCAUUUUUAAGAAAGUGAAUGCUUAAAAAGACAAAAUCUGGCCAGUACAAAUGAAUAUACAAUUGACUAUGCCUAAAUGAAUAUAUUAUAAACAAUAUUUGAAAGAGAUGUGAAGUUAGUUUGCUAAUAGAAAACCUCCACUGACAGUGCAGUUCUGUGUGUUUACCAAGAAGAAAGUCCCAUUAAUUUCAAUGGGACUUACUCUCAGCUGCCCAGAGUGGCUGGGGAGACCCAGCCAGAUGGGUGGGGUAUAAAUAAUAUUAUUAUUACUAUUACUAUUACUAUUAUUAUUAUUAUUAUUAUUAUUAUUAUUAUUAUUAUAUGUUGCAGCCUCUCAAACCUUGACACAUGAGAUAUAUAUUUUAGAACUCACCCUAUUUCUCAGUUAUGUAAUUUGUUUUAAUGGAUGUUAAUACCAUACUUUAAAAUUGUUGCAACCCAGCCUGGAGCUGUAUGGUGAACAUAGGAAAUCUAAAUAAUAAUAUUAAUAACACUAACAAUAAUAAUUUAAAGCAGGAUGAAUCAUUAAUAGACUUCCGUGCCUCCUAGGAAGACGGUCUAAAACUUUCAUUGCAGCCAGGAUUCUACAUUUGGAAAGUGUUUUCUUCUUCUUCUUCUUAAAGUAAAUAAAAUGAUCAAGCAAUACAGGCACAGUUCUUCCCUCUUAUUAAUGCCUCAAGAAUUUUCCUGUAAUGAUGUGCAACAUAUCCAAUGGGAAAAUUUGUCUUUAGCUCAAUGUCCAUAAUGCCAGCCAUCAGUCACUAAAACAGCUCUGAUUUAAUAGCAAACAAAUUGGACACUGUGGUUCAUGUAUGUGAUUCAGAGGAUGUGCCAUUUAAUUUGUAUUAGACAGACACAUGGCUGAGUGAAUAUUGAUUAGAAGUCUUAUAUUUGUUACAAUAAGCAAGUUUCACUCUUUUCCCCCCUACUGAACUAUGGCCAUAACAUGUGUCAUUAAAUUAAAUAAUGACAAAGACUGGAACUGAAAACUAGGUCUGUCUAAGAAGUAUGAUACCUGAUGGUUACUCACAGCUGUUCCAAAUUUAUUGGUUAUAGCAAAUUUACAGCUAUUACCGAGAAAAUGGUGCUGAUCAAAGGUAUCCUGGUAGAAAUUAAAGAGACUUGUGUGGACAAUUUAAGCAAUUGGAUGUUGUCACUAGCUGUGUUAAGUUUUCUUUCUGAUUUUCUCUCUCUCUCAUUCAGUGACAUCAAAGUCUGAUGAUUGAUUAUUCUGGUCAAAGAAAGAUACAAAAACAAAACCGAAAUGUAAUUACAAAGGUUUAUGAAAAGUUGUGCUACUUAUGCCUUCCUGAGCAUGGCUUUCAAACUAGACAUGAAUUUUAUUGAAACACAAAAAGCAAAUUUGGACAAGAAUCAAUAUAAUGCAUGUCUUUGGAUUUGAGACAAUUUGUCAUUCCUUUAUACUGGCUGCAUUUGGAUGCAGCAAUAAACAGUGGUUUAACAUGAUAUGAAUAAGCCUCAGGGUUCUGUGCUUGCCCUUCCUAUCAAGCGGACUCUUAGAGGAGAUUGGAAACUAUUUGAGCAUUCAGGUGCCAGGGAAUAAUAAACAGUUCUUGGAAAGUUCAUUGCAGUUCAAAUUCAUCUUAUUCUAAAAGGAACUAGUUCCAGACAUUAGCAACAGCAACAUCUUCAUAUCUGCUUAAUAAAUCUGAGAAUAUUGCCUCCAUCUUUUGCUUUCUAACUUUCUUUAUAGAGGUCCAUUAUACAUAAUUCUAUUUUAUUUCUCAUGGAAGCUAAGUGUCGAAGCCUCCUGCUAGAGCAGGCAUAGGCAAACUCAGCCCUCCAGAUGCUUUGAGACUACAAUUCCCAUCAUCCCUGACCACUGGACCUGUUAGCUAGGGAUGAUGGGAGUUGCAGUCCCAAAACAUCUGGAGGGCCCAGUUUGCCUAUGCCUGUACUAGAGAAACAAGGGGGUGGAUUUUUGUGAAAAUGUAUUAGAACUUAUUCAGACUUUUAUCCUUCAAAGAACAAUUCACCUUUAGUUCACCCAGCCAUUGUGGAAAUUACUUUCAGGUGUAAUUCGGAGAUUUUUGAACUAGGUCAGUGAACUUUAUCCAGCUGAAUGAGUUCAUUCCACACUAGCUCAUUCCAAGCACUGGCAAUAAGGUAAGACCUCUUAUUAUGGCAGUUGCUGCCAAGUAAAUUUUGCAGCAGAGGAAGGAGCUGGCCACAGUGGUGGGAACUGAGAGUCAUGGCAAAAGCUCAUCAUGAGUCAGCCCAAGCCUUGGACCAGUCAUCCUCUCUCACCCCAACCUACCUCACAUGGUUGUUGUAAGAUUGAAAUGGGGAGGGGGAUGCAAAUGAAAUGGGGAAAAAAAGUAAAUUCUGUGUCUAUCCCACACACAAAUUUCUGUUUCAAUUAAAUCCAAUUCACUGCAUAUUUAAUGCUUGAUCUGUCAAAUGAGCAUUUUCUAAAACAAUAUGCAAACUGAAACACAGCUAUCCUUCAAAAGUCACACUUCUCCCAUAUGUAAUUGGAUAUGUAAUUCUCGAACAAAUAAUGUCUACAAAAAUGCAUACAUCAGGGAGAACGAUGCAUACAAAUGAAAUAUAUUUGUAAAAAUAAUACUAAAAUGCCUUAUAUCAGGGGGAAUUGCUUACAAGAAUGUGCACUUUAGACAGAAAAAUCAUAUUAAAUGUUUAUUAAGAAAAAUUCACACUGAAAUUUUGUAUUUUUAAAAAUAAAGAACUGCAAAUUGCUUCAAAAUGCAGAGAACUGAUUUUACCAUUGGAGAAAUGAGAACCCUGAUAGAGUCUGCCAUCCCUAAUUAUCACUAUUGUGUUACACACACACACAGACACACACGCAGUGGUACCUCCAGUUGUGGACUGGAUCUGUUCCAGAGGUCUGGUCGGAUCCUGAGAUUUCCGCAACUUGAGGACCUCUUCUGCGCAUGUGUGCACGGCAAAACCCGGUAAAAUACUUCCGGGUUUGCCGCUUUUGCAUCCCAAAGUUUACGUAACCCCCUGGUUACGUAACCAGAGGUACUACUGCACAGCAUAUUUUUCGCUCCAUAAGACGCACCUGACCAUAAGACGCGCCUAGUUUUUGGAGAGGGAAUGCAAGGAACAAAAUAUUCUUUAAAGGGAGCGCUGAGCAGAGCCGUGUGGAGUGUGUGUGCGGCCCUUGCAGGCUUUUCCCCUUUUCCUCUUCAGGGAAAAGCCCCCAAGAGCUGCACACACGCUCCGAACAGCUCUUUAAAGGGAGUGCGGCUCUUGGGGGCUUUUCCAGGAGGUGGGGGAAGGGACAGAGGGGCUAAGCCAGCGCUCCCUCUCACUGUUCUGGCUUCUGGGAUAGCUGUGCAGCCUGCAUUCGCUCCAUAAGACGCACACACAUUUCCCAUUACUUUUCAGGAGGGAAAAAGUGCAUCUUAUAGAGCAAAAAAAUACGGUAUAUAUGAUUUUCACUAAUAUUAAUUUUCAUCACUGACAUAACUCAAGCGGGCUUACGGAUAAACCAGUAGCAUUAAUUAGUGUUGUAUUCAAUGCUGCAGAAGAGAUAUUCCACUUGGAACUUCCCCUUCCUCUCAUCUCCAGCACCCUCCAAAAAGCUGCUGCACAGGGUAACUCAACCAAGAGGGUCCAGGGAGGAUACAGAAGAAAGGAGAGGAUGGAGAUUGGUGAAAUGGAAGUGUUAACUACAACCCUUAAUCUCUAUUUUUCACAACUCCUGACAUGUAGAAUAAUGCAGGGGACCUAUUAAUCUAUUCAAACAGUAAAGACAUCAUCACAGCACCGUGCUUCUUUGCUGAAUCAAGAUGGCUCUGGAACUCUCCUACUGCAAUGCAAAGAGUUGGAAUUAAGUCACUCUCCAGUCAAUGCCCCCAAAUGCCGCUUGUCUAACAGACCAUGGGUUUAAUGAAGUGUGAUUUCAUUGUCUUCAUAAAACCAGAGCUCAAGCUUGGCUUCCCUUUGGUGCCCCCUCCAUUCUCAUCGCAAGGCUGAUUUACAACACCUCUAAAUGCAGCCAGACAUUCACAGCUCGGCUGUUCGGCAAAACAUCCCUUGCCCAAUUUAAUCUAAUUAUUACAAUAACAUAGAUAUUAACAGUGGUUGGUUUCGAAAGCGUUGUUUUCCCACUGGCAUCGUCUUAGCACUGUUAUAAACUGGAGUUGUCAUAUUGGAGAGCAUCUUUUUCUAAAGAAGUUCUCCAAGUUUGCCACCAUGAGCAUUCUAGGAACACAGGAAACAGCCAGACACAAGGAUCCUCACGUAAGGACCACUGGUCCAUGACCUAGAGCAAGAUUGUCUACAAUGAGUGGCAGGGUUACAGGCUGAGGUCUUUCUCGGCCCUGCCUGAAGAUGCUGGAGAUUUAACUUGGGUCUUCCGCAUGCAAAACAGACUCUCUGCUAAUGACCUUUCCUUGAUGAAGAAACAAACUAUUGUUACAAAAGCUGGGUGCCUUCCCAUCUCUCUGCCAAGCAGUUGCAAGAGUCCAUGGAUUUCCAGGCACUCACACAGGGUCUGUGUUCCUUUGGAGAAUUGCAAAAUGGCAGAGACUGUCUUGGUUUAAGAAAUAAUGGCUUAUGCAUCUAUUUACAUCUAUUUAUACCUAUUUACAUGGGUGGCGCUGUGGUCUAAACCACUGGGCCACUUGCAACAAAGCGAACUGGACUCCUUGGCAGGUUUUGAAUAAACAUUCACAAUUUUUUUACUGAUAAUAAUCAGCUAAACAGUUUGAGGAUCUAUACAACUUUGUAACAUGCAGAAAACAGCAUUAUUGGAGAAACCAAAGACUGGAACUGAGGGAAUUCGGGGGGGGGGGUUCUGUGGGAGGGAGGGGGGGAGGAAAAAUGGGGAGGAAUAAGGAUAUGUUUUUGGAUAUGUCUAUUAUAACUUGUUAUAAAAAAAACAAACCACUGGGCAUCUUGGGCUUGCCAAUUGGAAGGUCAGCAGUUAAAAUCCACACGAUGGGGUGAGCUUCUGUUGCUCUGCCCCAGCUCCUGCCAACCUAGCAGUUCAAAAGCACACUAUACAGCUGCAACUAAAACAUUUUAAAUGUGUUGUAGGGACGUGGGUGACACUGUGGGCUAAACCACAGAGCCUAGGACUUGCCAAUCAGAAGGUCGGUGGUUCGAAUCCCCACUACGGGGUGAGCUCCCCUUGCUCGGUCCCAGCUCCUGCCAACCUAGCAAUUCGAAAGCACGUCAAAGUGCAAGUAGAUAAAUAGGUACCACUCCGGUGGGAAGGUAAACGGUGUUUCCGUGCACCGCUCUGGUUCACCAGAAGUGGCUUAGUCAUGCUGGCCACAUGACCCGGAAGCUGUACGCCAGCUCCCUCGGCCAAUAAAGCGAGAUGAGUGCUGCAACCCCAGAGUCAGCCACAACUGGACCUAAUGGUCAGGGGUCCCUUUACCUUUUAAAGUGACACUAGAUGGCGAGACUGAGCUAUUAAAAAAUCAAUGUGUUUUUCAAAAUGCUUUUUUAAAAAAGCAUUUUCACAGUGUGUUUUUAAUAUGUGUGUAUAUUCCACCUAAAUUUAAAGUGCCAUUUUUCUGCUAGCUUUCAUAUCCCAGUUUCUAACACUGUCUACAGCUAGUCAGAUAAAAAUGUUAUGAGUUAAAUGAACCGUUGGUCUAGCUUGGUAUAAAUAAAGCUGCUUAAAUCUACAAGCCUUUAGAAGUUGACAAUAAUAAUAAUAAAAAAGCAAUGACAAAAGUAUGCUUUUGAAGAGAGGAAAACAGAUCUGGAUGAAAUGAAUUCAUCACAGUAACAAACAUCUUUUUUGUCCUCUGCUUGAAACAAAAACUAGCUGGAAAAAUAUUGCUCCUUUAAUUUAUGGCAACGGCUGGUUCAUUAGGCAGAAAGUCUGCCUUGAUGAAUUCUUAGAGGCACUCAAGUAGUCCCUGAUCACUUCCAAGUUCUGUUUUAUUCUGUGUAAGUGGGCAGGCUGUAUUUUCCCCCUCUUUGCACUUACUAACUCAUUUCCUUCUAAAUAUUAAGCAGACGGUCACAGAAAUCACUCAGAAGCAAACCUGCAUUAGAAAUGAUUCACUGGGUCAGCCAUGGGAAAAACAAGUGAAAAAUGUCUAAUGUUUAUAAUUAUGCAAGAAAUGUUGUCAGGUUUCUGAACACCCUGUCUGAACACUAAAGGUUUUUAUUUUAUCCACGUUCAGCUAAGCGAUGUCCACUGCAGCAUGGUAGAAAAACCAAAUGCACCAUCAGGAGCAGAGCUACGCAGACUCGUGGUCCAGCCACUUUCUAGGCCGAUACGAAGGAUGGAAAAGCCACCUCCCAGAACAGUCAUAAAUUUCAAUGUCUGCAAUGGCCAAAACCCCCCAAAAACCCUGACUAGACAUUCAUGUGCAAGCGAAAAGUCAUGCAUAUUGGAUCAAAAGGACCCCUGGAUGGUUAAGUCUGGUCAAAGGCAACUAUGGGGUGUGGCACUCAUCUUGCUUUCAGGCCAAGGGAGCCGGCAAUUGUCCACAGACAGCUUCCAGGUCAUGUGGCCAGCAACUGCUUCUGGCACAAUGGGACACCGUGACGGAAAGCAGAGCACAUGGAAAUGCCAUUUACCUUCCCGCUGCAGUGGUGCCUAUUUAUCUGCUUGCACUGGUGUGCUUUCGAACUGCUAGGUUGGCAGGAGCUGGGACAGAGCAAUGGGAGCUCACCCCAACGCACGGAUUCUAACCGCCGACCUUCUGAUCGGCAAGCCCAAGAGGCUCAGUGGUUUAGAUCACAGCGCCACCCGCGUCCCUUAGGAAAGACAUAUUGAGAUCAUGGCAAAUAGCCUAUUGAAAACAUCAAAGCUUAUUAGGACCACAAAUAGCAAUUCAGCCAGACAUACCUGAGAGGUGUACACUUACUAGCUUGUUUUAAUAUGCUCUGACACCAAGCAUGUGGUGGCCAGGUCUUAAGGGUGUCCAUGAUCAAGUUUAAAAAUUGGGAAUCAAUGCAAUGCUUUAAAACUAGAUUCCAUCCUAUGCAGCUGCCUUCAUAUGUUCCCAGUUCAAUUCACACAUGAUGGUUCUUUUUCUGAGUCAUGUAGAAUGAUGCAACAGUUUCAUCCCCAAACCCUAGUGAUGAAAUAGAUUCCACACACAAGACUUUGAAGAUGACCUUUUCACUUGCAGGAUGGCAACUAUUAACAAGCAGUGUCAUAAACAUAUCAAGUCCACGGCGACGCAUUUCUCUCCCUUGAGCCCAAGAGAGGGUCUUCUUGCUUCUUGCUUCUAAAACUCCUUUGAAGCAGUCUGUAAAUUAUAGCUGGCCUGUCUUCACCAACUCCUCAGGGCAGCGUGUCCUUGGAGUCUGCACACUAACCAAAAAAGAAAACUCCCAUCUCUCCUAAAGGUAAAGGUACCCCUGACCAUCUAGUCAUGAAUGACUCUGGGGUUGCGGCGCUCAUCUCGCAUUACUGGCUGAGGGAGCCAGCAUUUGUCCACAGACAGUCAUGUGGCCAGCAUGACUACGCCGCUUCUGGCAAACCAGAGCAGUGCACGGAAAUACCAUUUACCUUCCCGCUGGAGCGGUACCUAUUUCUCUACUUGCACUUUGACGUGCUUUCAAACUGCUAGGUGGGCAGGAGCAGGGACCAAACAACAGGAGCUCACCCCAUCACAGGGAUUCGAACCGCCGACCUUCUGAUCAGCAAGCCUUAGGCUCAGUGGUUAGACGAAAGCACCCCAGGCAUCCCCUCCCAUUUCUCCUAUCCUUACCUAAAACACAUACACUCACACUUUUCAAGGGAGUUAACAAAUUAACAACACAAUGAUUUGAUGUUUCUGUGACCUUAAUUGGAAUCACAAGAUUUUGCAGCUGUUACAUUACAUUACAUGGGUUUUCUUUCCCCCAAUACAAUGUAUUCUUUUUAAAAUACAUUUUCUAACAAAUACAGUAUGGAUACUAACAACACAUACUGUAUCAUGCUUUCCCCCCCUCUUGUUAAGUACAGCAAGAUGGUCAGCUAAACAGCAUGAUUCCUUUAUGCGUCAGUCAUGCCAGUGGAGGUGAUGCUAGCAUAGGAAGGAACCGUGUCGUUUCCCCCAUCUCAUGUGGUUCCUCUUUACAGGACAGCAUGAACGCCUUGGGACAUCAACGGUCACAUAAGAAUCAGCUCUAUGGAUCAGCCUGUACCACUGGUGGAGGAAGGUGGGUGCGGGGGGCGCAUCGCUCCGGGUGACAUCCCUGAGCGGGGGUGACAUUUGGUGUUCUGCCCACAACUCAGACUCCCACGCCUACCGCGAGCCAGUUCCUUCAGCUGGGAGCAUGGCGCAGCAGCUCCCCCCUUCCCCUGAUGGCUGGCAGUAGGUGCGGGAGUCAUGGGUGGGUGGUGCGCUGUUGCCCCAUGCUCCUGGCUGAAGGAGGCAGGCAGGCAGGGGAGAGGAUGGGAAGGAGGCAAGUGAGCGGGAAGGGGAGAGGAAGGAAGCGGGAUUGGUGGGUGGGUGCGUGCAUGGCUGUCCUGCGCCUGGGAGAGCACCCUCCGUGCGCCUUGGGAGCGCGCGCCCAUGCCCCUCGGAAGCAUGCCUACCCUAGGCAGCACAGGCAUAUGCUCAAUCACUGGCCUGUACACGUAAUUCCUGUGAUCCUUCCAGCCCCUUUAUUCCUUGGGACAAGAGCCCAGGGUCCCAUGUGUGUUGACGGGAAUGAAUAUACCCAAUGGAACAUGAUUUUCAAUGAAUCCUGAGACUCAACUACAUUAGCCAUGUUACAACACUAUAACUGUGUUACACACAUGUGACACCACAUGGCCCUGUAGAGCACAAAACUUUCUCUGUGUGAGUUUACAUGGAGGGUUUUUUUAUGUUGCUAUAACAAUUAAUAAUGAUAAUGAUAAUAAUAAUAAUUUAUUAUUUAUAUCCCAACCAUCUGGCUGGGCUUCCCCAGCCACUCUGGGCGGCUUCCAACAGACUAUUAAAAAACAAUAAUCUAUUAAACAUUAAAAGCUUCCCUAAACAGGGCUGCCUUCAGAUGUCUUCUAAAAGUCUGGUAGUUGUUUUUCUCUUUGACAUCUGGUGGGAGGGCGUUCCACAGGGCGGGCGCCACUACCGAGAAGGCCCUCUGCCUGCUUCCCUGUAACUUGGCUUCUCGCAGCGAGGGAACCACCAGAAGGCCCUUGGCACUGGACCCUAGUGUCCAGGCAGAACGAUGGAGGUGGAGACGCUCCUUCAUAUAUAAAUAUGACUUACUUAUAGCUGGGUUUUUCCCCUUUGUGUAGAUCCAACCCUGGUGAAACAUUUGUUAUCAUGUGCUGUGUCAUGGAAUCCAGGGCAUGUGCAGGCUUCCCACUGAUGGCGGUGGCAAUGGACUUCUACAGACUUAUGGGACUUCAAUCAUUUGUGGUGGAGCUCCCAUUUGCAUAACUGAAGUCUCCUUGUUUAUCCACUAAGAUAAAUUGGUAUUUCACUAGUGUCAACGG
Podarcis lilfordi (Lilford's wall lizard) is the source of this 14801-nucleotide non-coding RNA. The record is from the annotation of a GenBank genome assembly. Lineage: Eukaryota; Metazoa; Chordata; Lepidosauria; Squamata; Lacertidae.